UACAGAGGUGGCAAGCGUUGUUCGGAAUUACUGGGCGUAAAGGGCGCGUAGGCGGCCUUCUAAGUCAGACGUGAAAUCCCCAGGCUUAACUUGGGAACUGCGUCCGAUACUGGCAGGCUUGAAUCCGGGAGAGGGAUGCGGAAUUCCAGGUGUAGCGGUGAAAUGCGUAGAUAUCUGGAGGAACACCGGUGGCGAAGGCGGCAUCCUGGACCGGCAUUGACGCUGAGGCGCGAAAGCGUGGGGAGCAAACAGG
RNAcentral lists this ribosomal RNA (253 nucleotides) under uncultured bacterium. RNAcentral describes it as "partial 16S ribosomal RNA". It matches the Rfam family "Bacterial small subunit ribosomal RNA", at positions 524 to 776 of the family's 1533-position model. The record is from RNAcentral.